RNAcentral lists this ribosomal RNA (468 nucleotides) under uncultured bacterium. Its description in RNAcentral is "partial 16S ribosomal RNA". It matches the Rfam family "Bacterial small subunit ribosomal RNA", at positions 28 to 507 of the family's 1533-position model. The record is from RNAcentral.
GACGAACGCUGGCGGCGUGCUUAACACAUGCAAGUCGAACGGAAAGGCCCUGCUUUUGUGGGGUGCUCGAGUGGCGAACGGGUGAGUAACACGUGAGUAACCUGCCCUUGACUUUGGGAUAACUUCAGGAAACUGGGGCUAAUACCGGAUAGGAGCUCCUGCUGCAUGGUGGGGGUUGGAAAGUUUCGGCGGUUGGGGAUGGACUCGCGGCUUAUCAGCUUGUUGGUGGGGUAGUGGCUUACCAAGGCUUUGACGGGUAGCCGGCCUGAGAGGGUGACCGGCCACAUUGGGACUGAGAUACGGCCCAGACCCCUACGGGAGGCAGCAGUGGGGAAUAUUGCACAAUGGGCGGAAGCCUGAUGCAGCAACGCCGCGUGCGGGAUGACGGCCGUCGGGUUGUAAACCGCUUUCGCCUGUGACGAAGCGUGAGUGACGGUAAUGGGUAAAGAAGCACCGGCUAACUACGUG